CGAAAGCCUGACGGAGCAACGCCGCGUGAGGGAUGAAGGCCUCUGGGCUGUAAACCUCUUUUCUCAAGGAAGAAGAUCUGACGGUACUUGAGGAAUAAGCCACGGCUAAUUCCGUGCCAGCAGCCGCGGUAAUACGGGAGUGGCAAGCGUUAUCCGGAAUUAUUGGGCGUAAAGCGUCCGCAGGCGGUUCUGUAAGUCUGCCGUUAAAGCGUGGAGCUUAACUCCAUUUCGGCGGUGGAAACUGCAGGACUUGAGUGUGGUAGGGGCAGAGGGAAUUCCCGGUGUAGCGGUGAAAUGCGUAGAUAUCGGGAAGAACACCAGUGGCGAAGGCGCUCUGCUGGGCCAUAACUGACGCUCAUGGACGAAAGCCAGGGGGGCG
Molecule: ribosomal RNA, 379 nt
Filed under: uncultured cyanobacterium
Lineage: Bacteria; Bacillati; Cyanobacteriota
Description: bacterial SSU rRNA
Rfam family: Bacterial small subunit ribosomal RNA
Source: RNAcentral